AUUUUUCUUAUACGGAUCAGAUUAGGAUAACACCUUCCCUCUCCAUGCGCUAAUUUGGAGGAGCCAUGAGCUGACCUUAUCUUUUUUUUUUUUAUUAAGCUCAGCCAUAAUCUUUGUUCCCUAACUCCUCAAGUGUACAGCAAAGAACUGCCCAAGGAAAACAAAUUGGAUACUCGUAGUUCCAAAACCACACGUAGCUUGUCCGUACCACAUAGAUGGAAUCACAAACCUUGUUUGCAUUCCCUUCUACAUUAUUCCUCCCAAAAUCGUAAUCUUCCAUCAGCUCACUUCUCAUUCACUCUCAUUCUGACCCGGCCUUAGUUCAACUACUGAGGAGAUUACCAUCUCAAUUCAUUCUUCAUUUUUCUCUGGUUUGGCAGAGGAACUAUCUUGAGGAGAUGGGUAGUUCGAGUUCUCGCAAGGAGGAGGGUGAGGGUACCACUCCUCUGUUGGUUGAUGCCUUUGGACCGGUUGUGAGCACCUUGGUGUGCACAAAGAGCUGAUGAGUGUAGGCCAUUGACACUUGCAAGCUUAGGACUCAAUUUUAGCUUGGACCGUAGCUCUCUUAUGAAGUUGUGGGACUGUUUUGGUGGAAUUAUAUUGUGUAUCAAACCUGUAUGGAUUGAGCUGGACCAGUAUUCCUUUCCCCUUGGGGGCAAACGGCAAGCAGUGUAGGAGAAGACAAAAACCAUGUUCUGCAGAAUGGGAAAGCGAGGAAACUCAUACUGCACUCAAUUUCUGCCUCUAGUCGACUUGGGAAUUUUAAGUGUCUACAAGUAGAUGGUCACCAACCUCAAGAAGACUGGAUGGAAAUUGAGAUGUAUAUAUGUAUUGGUUAAAAAUUAAAGACACGAGGAGGACGAAAGAGCAUAUGAGAACGUGGUUAUAUGGAUAAUGGCUGUUAAUUGCUGCUGUUUGGAUUUUUGCUGUUACUGUUUGCUUGAUGGAUGACUGUAUUAUUUUGGGAAAUUUGGAUUACUGUUGGAACUAUGACUUAGCUACUGUUUUAAGACUUUUAUGAUCAGUUAUUACUUUGGAAAAAUUCUGAAAACGU
Molecule: long non-coding RNA, 1054 nt
Organism: Gastrolobium bilobum
Lineage: Eukaryota; Viridiplantae; Streptophyta; Magnoliopsida; Fabales; Fabaceae
Exons: 5
Source: RefSeq, a predicted model, not a curated record